Molecule: long non-coding RNA, 212 nt
Organism: Saccostrea echinata
Lineage: Eukaryota; Metazoa; Mollusca; Bivalvia; Ostreida; Ostreidae
Exons: 3
Source: RefSeq, a predicted model, not a curated record
CCUAUGUAAACACCUAAAUGCCAAGUCUGGACUUCAAAAACAGAUUCUGAAAGUUUAACCAGCAUUAUGGACAAAAAGUAUACACUUCGAACAGACACAAAAACAUAUAGGUCCAUGCCAAGCUAUGAAAGAUUUAUGCUGAGGAUGAAAGGGAAUUGCAGAAGAAUGAAUUGAUGUUAACAUCUCAACAUUAAAAUUGGCUUAAAUUUGAA